RNAcentral lists this ribosomal RNA (701 nucleotides) under uncultured fungus. RNAcentral's name for it is "SSU rRNA". It matches the Rfam family "Eukaryotic small subunit ribosomal RNA", at positions 392 to 1094 of the family's 1831-position model. Lineage: Eukaryota; Fungi. The record is from RNAcentral.
GAGCCUGAGAAACGGCUACCACAUCCAAGGAUGGCAGCAGGCGCGCAAAUUACCCAAUCCCGACACGGGGAGGUAGUGACAAUAAAUAACAAUACGGGGUUCUUUAGGAUCUCGUAAUUGGAAUGAGUACAAUUUAAAUCUCUUAACGAGGAACAAUUGGAGGGCAAGUCUGGUGCCAGCAGCCGCGGUAAUUCCAGCUCCAAUAGCGUAUAUUAAAGUUGUUGCAGUUAAAAAGCUCGUAGUUGAAUUUCGGGGUUAGUAGGUUGGUCAUGCCUCUGGUAUGUACUGGUCUCACUGAUUCCUCCUUCCUUAUGAACCGUAAUGCCAUUAAUUUGGUGUUGCGGGGAAUUUGGACUGUUACUUUGAAAAAAUUAGAGUGUUUAAAGCAAGCUAACGCUUGAAUACAUUAGCAUGGAAUAAUGAAAUAGGACGUUCGAUCUUAUUUUGUUGGUUUCUAGGAUUGACGUAAUGAUUAAUAGGGAUAGUUGGGGGCAUUAGUAUUCAAUUGUCAGAGGUGAAAUUCUUGGAUUUAUUGAAGACUAACUACUGCGAAAGCAUUUGCCAAGGAUGUUUUCAUUAAUCAAGAACGAAAGUUAGGGGAUCGAAGACGAUCAGAUACCGUCGUAGUCUUAACCAUAAACUAUGCCGACUAGGGAUCGGAUGAUGUUAAUUUUUUAAUGACUCAUUCGGCGCCUUACGGG